AGAGGAAGUAAAAGUCGUAACAAGGUUUCCGUAGGUGAACCUGCGGAAGGAUCAUUAGAGACGGGCCCGCGGCACCGGCGACACCCGCCGGUAUCGCGCGCGCCUCAUCCGACCCCGUGGCCGCGUGCGCUCGGCGACCAGCUCGCCGGCCGCCCGCGCGCCGCGACCCCCCGACCGAGCGUCGACCGAAAGAUGGUUACACCGUCGAAAGACCGUCCGCGGCCCACGGGCCGUGGAAAAAUUUCGACGAAAACAAAAAAAAAAAAAAAACACCCGACCCCGAACGGCGGAUCACUUGGCUCGUGGAUCGAUGAAGACCGCAGCUAUCUGCGCGUCGUCGUGUAAUCCGCAGGUUAUACGAACAUCGACCAGU
Molecule: ribosomal RNA, 373 nt
Filed under: Myzus certus
Lineage: Eukaryota; Metazoa; Arthropoda; Insecta; Hemiptera; Aphididae
Rfam family: Eukaryotic small subunit ribosomal RNA (bases 1-57)
Source: RNAcentral